This is a long non-coding RNA of Suricata suricatta (meerkat), 1358 nucleotides long. RefSeq lists it as uncharacterized. Lineage: Eukaryota; Metazoa; Chordata; Mammalia; Carnivora; Herpestidae. The transcript has 4 exons. The record is from RefSeq and is a predicted model, not a curated record.
CUUCAGUCCCAGUGUAGGAAGUGGCAAAGCCUGCAGAGGAAGAAGGGCUAUCUGACUCCAAAUUGCAGAAGUAAGACUGCCAUCCAGGACAGGAUCUGAGAACAAUGGUGUGUGGUAUUUGUGUCCGGUCUACCUCGCUGCUUGAGAAUAAUAACCAUCUCUACCUAACACAUUAACAGAAGGCUUGCAUUUCCAGAGUGAAAAAGAACAGUGCAGAAACCAAGAAUCUGCAUUUCUAACAAGCUCCUGUGUGUUAGGACUGCUACUAAUUCACCAUUUUAGUGUCACGGAGUCUAUGCAAAGGUGGCAAGACGGCAGCGAGACUGCAUCGGAAGUCGCUGUUGAUGAAUUCAUUCAUCAAGUCCUUCCGGAGGGCCUGUUGUGUGCUCCCUGGUCUUCUAGGUCUUCGUGGUGCAUGAAGGAAGCAGAUGAGGAACAGAGGAGCUUACAUUGUAUUGAGAAAAGGGAAGUGUUUGCAAGACUAUGAGAUUUUCUCCAGGAAAUGGCAAGCCUAGCAACACAGUUAACCUUAGACAUUGGCUCAACCGCCAUCAUGAACGACACCGUAACCAACCUGAGCAGGAAGUUCAUGAUUAACUGACUACUUCAGCAGAAACAGAUGGUCAUUGAAGUCCUUCACCCUGGAAAGGCAACAGUACCUAAGACAGAAAUUCGGGAAAAACUAGCCAAAAUGUACAAGACCACACCAGAUGCCGUCUUUGUUUUUGGAUUCAGAACCCAUUUCAGAGGUGGCAAGACCACCUGGUCACACCCACUCCCAUAUGUUCCCCUAAGUGUCUCCAGACAUCAGCCAAAGGCCAGGGGCCGGGAGGGGAACGCCAGGGCUGAGAAGCGCUCACUAAUGGUGUUAGAUAGCACUUUCCUGGCACACGCUGUAUCCGAGCCUCUCUCUGGAAUUCUGAUUCCCCCAGCAGUUCCCUCUACGCCUCCCUUUCAUCCAGAUCAACCAGGUUUUUAUCACUACAAACUGCUUCUCGAUUUGGUCCCAGGAUUAGAAAAGGGGGAUACAUUUUUCAGCGGCUGGAAGAUGGUAUCUGAAGAAUGGACAAACCCUUUUUAGUUUCUAAGAAGGAGAAUUCGUGGCAGAGCCUACUAAUCACAGAAGCAGCUGAGAUGAGAUUGUGUGGUAUCGUGUCCCCAAUCUAGACAAGAGCGCAUCUGCAUGACCCAUUUCCUGACUUCCAAACACACAUUUUAAAGGUUGUUUCAGAGAAUGGAUUUGUGUAGCAUUAACUUUUAAUAGUCAGAUAUGGAUUUAGUUAUGUGACUUAAGUCAAAUGUUCAGGUUUUCUUUUCUUCUUCUUCUCCUUCUCCUUCUUCUUCUUCUUCUUCUUCUU